GAGUGUUACUGUCCCAGGUCUCACAGUAAUAAUCAGCCUCAUCCUCAAACUGGAGCUUCAUCAAGUACCGAGGGGCCUUCCCUGGCUGCUGCUGAUGCCAUGCGAUGAUGUAGCUACUGUGCCCACUGCUCAGAGUGCAGGUGAGCUUGACCGAGGCUCCCAGGGAGGCAGAGGCAGAGGGCGAUUGAGUCAGCACAAGCUGGGAGAGAGACCCUGAAAACACAGACACCCAUUACCGGCUGGAGUCAAGAAAAGAGGGAAGGACAUUCCUGGCAUAAGUUUGGGAGGUGGUAUCAGUGAGCUGGAGGUCAGGGUGCUGAGGGCCAUCCUGACCUG
Molecule: long non-coding RNA, 336 nt
Filed under: Homo sapiens (human)
Lineage: Eukaryota; Metazoa; Chordata; Mammalia; Primates; Hominidae
Description: HSALNT0405071
Source: RNAcentral